This 503-nucleotide ribosomal RNA is filed under the name uncultured bacterium. Its description in RNAcentral is "partial 16S ribosomal RNA". It matches the Rfam family "Bacterial small subunit ribosomal RNA", at positions 30 to 523 of the family's 1533-position model. The record is from RNAcentral.
AUUGAACGCUGGCGGCAGGCUUAACACAUGCAAGUCGAGCGGGGGAAGGUAGCUUGCUACCGGACCUAGCGGCGGACGGGUGAGUAAUGCUUAGGAAUCUGCCUAUUAGUGGGGGACAACAUCUCGAAAGGGAUGCUAAUACCGCAUACGUCCUACGGGAGAAAGCAGGGGAUCACUUGUGACCUUGCGCUAAUAGAUGAGCCUAAGUCGGAUUAGCUAGUUGGUGGGGUAAAGGCCUACCAAGGCGACGAUCUGUAGCGGGUCUGAGAGGAUGAACCGCCACACUGGGACUGAGACACGGCCCAGACUCCUACGGGGGGCAGCAGUGGGGAAUAUUGGACAAUGGGGGGAACCCUGAUCCAGCCAGGCCGCGUGUGUGAAGAAGGCCUUAUGGUUGUAAAGCACUUUAAGCGAGGAGGAGGCUCUUUUGGUUAAUACCCAAGAUGAGUGGACGUUACUCGCAGAAUAAGCACCGGCUAACUUUGUGCCAGCCGCCGCCGUAA